GGGGGCGUAGCUCAGUUGGGAGAGCGUCUGCUUUGCACGCAGAAGGUCAGCGGUUCAAUUCCGCUCGUCUCCA
RNAcentral lists this transfer RNA (73 nucleotides) under Candidatus Poribacteria bacterium. RNAcentral describes it as "tRNA-Ala". It matches the Rfam family "tRNA". From Rfam's summary of the family: Transfer RNA (tRNA) molecules are approximately 80 nucleotides in length. Their secondary structure includes four short double-helical elements and three loops (D, anti-codon, and T loops). Lineage: Bacteria; Candidatus Poribacteria. The record is from RNAcentral.